ACACGUAGGGGGCGAGCGUUGUCCGGAAUUACUGGGCGUAAAGGGCGUGUAGGCGGCUUAUCAAGUCAGAUGUGAAAAAUCAGGGCUCAACUCUGAUCUUGCAUCUGAAACUGGUAAGCUUGAGUGCAGGAGAGGAAAGUGGAAUUCCCAGUGUAGCGGUGAAAUGCGUAGAUAUUGGGAGGAACACCAGUGGCGAAGGCGACUUUCUGGACUGUAACUGACGCUGAGGCGCGAAAGCUAGGGGAGCAAACAGGAUUAGAUACCCUGGUAGUCCUAGCCGUAAACGAUGGGUACUAGGUGUAGGGGGUUUAGAUACCUUCUGUGCCGUAGUUAACACAUUAAGUACCCCGCCUGGGGAGUACGGCCGCAAGGCUGAA
Molecule: ribosomal RNA, 377 nt
Filed under: uncultured bacterium
Lineage: Bacteria
Description: bacterial SSU rRNA
Rfam family: Bacterial small subunit ribosomal RNA
Source: RNAcentral